UACGUAGGUGGCAAGCGUUGUCCGGAUUUAUUGGGUUUAAAGGGUGCGUAGGCGGUUUUAUAAGUCAGUGGUGAAAUACGGCAGCUUAGCUGUCGAGGUGCCAUUGAUACUGUAGGACUAGAGUACUGUUGAGGUAGGCGGAAUGGACGGUGUAGCGGUGAAAUGCUUAGAUAUCGUCCAGAACACCGAUAGCGAAGGCAGCUUACUAAAGAGUAACUGACGCUGAGGCACGAAAGUGUGGGGAUCAAACAGG
RNAcentral lists this ribosomal RNA (253 nucleotides) under uncultured bacterium. Its description in RNAcentral is "partial 16S ribosomal RNA". It matches the Rfam family "Bacterial small subunit ribosomal RNA", at positions 524 to 776 of the family's 1533-position model. The record is from RNAcentral.